Molecule: ribosomal RNA, 512 nt
Filed under: uncultured bacterium
Lineage: Bacteria
Description: bacterial SSU rRNA
Rfam family: Bacterial small subunit ribosomal RNA
Source: RNAcentral
GAUCAUGGCUCAGGAGUGAACGCUAGCGACAGGCUAACACAUGCAAGUCGAGGGGCAGCAUAAAAGUAGCAAUACUUUGGUGGCGACCGGCGCACGGGUGAGUAACGCGUAUGCAACCUACCUAUCAGAGGGGAAUAACCCGGCGAAAGUCGGACUAAUACCGCAUAAAACAGGGACACCGCAUGGUGAUAUUUGUUAAAGAAAUUCGCUGAUAGAUGGGCAUGCGUUCCAUUAGGUAGUUGGUGAGGUAACGGCUCACCAAGCCGACGAUGGAUAGGGGAACUGAGAGGUUGGUCCCCCACACUGGUACUGAGACACGGACCAGACUCCUACGGGAGGCAGCAGUGAGGAAUAUUGGUCAAUGGGCGAGAGCCUGAACCAGCCAAGUCGCGUUGAAGGAAGAAGGAUCUAUGGUUCGUAAACUUCUUUUGCAGGGGAAUAAAGUGCAGGACGUGUCCUGUUUUGUAUGUACCCUGAGAAUAAGGAUCGGCUAACUCCGUGCCAGCCGCCGC